RNAcentral lists this non-coding RNA (21 nucleotides) under Arabidopsis thaliana (thale cress). Lineage: Eukaryota; Viridiplantae; Streptophyta; Magnoliopsida; Brassicales; Brassicaceae. The record is from RNAcentral.
CGUGAAAGCGUGGCCUAUCGA